CUCUUGCCAUCGGAUGUGCCCAGAUGGGAUUAGCUUGUUGGUGGGGUAACGGCUCACCAAGGCGACGAUCCCUAGCUGGUCUGAGAGGAUGACCAGCCACACUGGAACUGAGACACGGUCCAGACUCCUACGGGAGGCAGCAGUGGGGAAUAUUGCACAAUGGGCGCAAGCCUGAUGCAGCCAUGCCGCGUGUAUGAAGAAGGCCUUCGGGUUGUAAAGUACUUUCAGCGGGGAGGAAGGGAGUAAAGUUAAUACCUUUGCUCAUUGACGUUACCCGCAGAAGAAGCACCGGCUAACUCCGUGCCAGCAGCCGCGGUAAUACGGAGGGUGCAAGCGUUAAUCGGAAUUACUGGGCGUAAAGCGCACGCAGGCGGUUUGUUAAGUCAGAUGUGAAAUCCCCGGGCUCAACCUGGGAACUGCAUCUGAUACUGGCAAGCUUGAGUCUCGUAGAGGGGGGUAGAAUUCCAGGUGUAGCGGUGAAAU
Molecule: ribosomal RNA, 483 nt
Filed under: Shigella sonnei
Lineage: Bacteria; Pseudomonadati; Pseudomonadota; Gammaproteobacteria; Enterobacterales; Enterobacteriaceae
Description: bacterial SSU rRNA
Rfam family: Bacterial small subunit ribosomal RNA
Source: RNAcentral